AUGGGGGGCCUUGGCAAGACCACAUUAGCGCAGCUCAUAUACAAUGAUCCUGAAAUACAGAAGCAUUUCCAGUUGCUACUCUUGGUCUGUGUCUCUGAUACCUUUGACGUGAACUCCCUGGCCAAGAGUAUAGUUGAAGCAUCUCCCAAGAAGAAUGUUGAUAUAGACAAACCACCACUGGAUAGACUUCAAAAACUGGUCAGCGGACAGCAGUAUCUCCUUGUAUUGGAUGAUGUUUGGGACAACAAAGAGUUACGUAAGUGGGAAAGGCUGAAGGUAUGUCUUCAGCAUGGUGGCAUGGGCAGUGCAGUGUUGACAACAACUCGUGAUAAACGAGUUGCUGAAAUUAUGGGUGCAGAUAGGGCAGCUUACAAUCUCAAUGCUUUGGAGGAUCACUUCAUAAAGAAAAUUAUUGAGGCUAGAGCAUUCAGCCAGGUCAAAGAAAAGCCUGCUGAACUAGUGGUGAUAGUUGAUGAGAUUGUGAAGAGAUGUUCUGGCUCUCCUUUAGCUGCAUGUGCACUGGGCUCUGUACUUCGUACCAAGACCACCGUGAAAGAAUGGAAGGCUAUAGCAUCUAGAAGCAGCAUUUGCACAGAGGAAACUGGAAUCUUGCCAAUACUCAAGCUUAGCUACAACGACUUGCCAUCGCACAUGAAGCAGUGCUUUGCUUUUUGUGCUGUAUUUCCAAAGGAUUACAAGAUUGAUGUAGCGAAGCUGAUCCAACUAUGGAUCGCAAAUGGCUUUAUCCCUGAACACAAGGAAGAUAGUCUUGAAACCAUUGGACAACUUAUUUUUGAUGAGCUUGCUUCAAGGUCAUUCUUUCUGGAUAUAGAGAGGAGUAAAGAAUGCUGGGAGUAUUAUUCCAGAACAACAUGUAAAAUCCACGAUCUUAUGCAUGAUAUUGCAAUGUCUGUUAUGGGAAAGGAAUGUGUUGCUGUGACUAUGGAGCUAAGUAAAAUUGAGUGGCUUGGAGAUACUGCUCGGCAUUUGUUUUUAUCAUGUAAAGGAACAGAAGGUAUUUUGAAUGCUUCUUUGGAGAAAAGAUCCCCUGCCAUUCAAACACUCAUAUGUGAUAGUCCUAUGCAAAGUUCAUUGAAGCAUCUAUCAAAAUAUAACUCUUUGCACGCCUUGAAGCUCUGUAUUAGAGGCACAGAAUCAUUUCUUCUGAAAUCAAUGUAUCUGCAUCACCUGAGGUACCUUGAUCUCUCAAACAGUUCUAUCAAAUCACUUCCUGAAGAUAUAAGUAUUCUAUAUAACCUUCAAACGUUGGACUUUUCCAACUGCCGUUAUCUUGAUCGACUUCCGAAGCAAAUGAAGUAUAUGACUUCCCUCUGCCAUCUCUACACUCAUGGAUGUCCGAAGUUGAAGAGCAUGCCUCCAGGACUUGAAAAUCUCACUAAGCUGCAGACACUCACAGUUUUUGUAGAAGGAGUUCCUGGCCCUGAUUGCAGUGAUGUUAUAGCGCUGCAGCAUUUAAACCUUGGUGGUCAUCUAGAGCUACGCCAGGUAGAGAAUGUUCAAGAAGCAGAGGCAAAAGUGGCGAAUCUUGGAAACAAGAAGGAUCUCCGUGAACUGACAUUAAGAUGGACUGAGGUUGGCGACAGCAAGGUGCUCGACAAGUUCGAACCUCAUGGUGGGCUGCAGGUUCUGAAGAUAUAUUCCUAUGGAGGAGAGUGCAUGGGUAUGUUGCAAAACAUGGUUGAGAUCCAUCUUUUCCAUUGUGAAAGAUUGCGAUGUUUGUUUAGAUGCAGUACAAUCUUCACUUUUCCAAAACUGAAGGUGCUUAUGCUAGACCAUCUGUUGGGUUUUGAGGGAUGGUGGGAAAUAGAUGAGAGGCAAGAAGAACAUGCAAUAUUUCCUGUGCUUGAGAAGUUGUUUAUGAGCAAUUGUGGAAAGUUGGUAGCAUUACCCGAAGCAGCAUUGCUGCAAGGACCUUGUGGUGAAGGCGGUUAUACAUUUGUACGCUCAGCGUUUCCUGCCCUGAAGGUGCUCAAAAUGAAAAACUUGGAGAGCUUUCAGAUGUGGGAUGCAGUCAAAGAGACUCAAGGUGAAUAG
This 2055-nucleotide ribosomal RNA is filed under the name Triticum aestivum (bread wheat). RNAcentral's name for it is "partial small subunit ribosomal RNA". Lineage: Eukaryota; Viridiplantae; Streptophyta; Magnoliopsida; Poales; Poaceae. The record is from RNAcentral.